CACUAAAUCUUCUGUACCCUGUCUUUCCUCACUCUCAGAGUUUCUCAAUAGUCUCAUCUAUAAAACAGCCUUCAGUCCUUGGAAGAGUACAGGAGGGGCAGAUUGUUUUGUUCUCAUUGGCUUAAGAAAAGUUUGGGCAAAAACGUGACUCAGGACUGCAGGAAGAUAUUAAAUGCAUUUUAAAUAACUAUAUUUUACUUAACUUGACCUUAUACUUUCACUGAAAUACAGUGUGCAUUUUAUUAAAUAUUGUUAACCAGCAUCUUCAGAAAAACAUAAGGAUAGGGCUGCUAUUUGGCAUUAGAGAAAGAGAAACCAAUACUGCUUUCUUGCAUUAAGCUCUAAAAAGAUGGGUUCAUCACCUGAUAAAUUCUACUAAUUAUAAAACUGAAUUUUAGAAAGAAAAGAAAAACACAAAGUAGUGAUUUAACAAAAUUAAUCUGUCAUUUUUACAAUGAAUAUAUAUAGUUUCAGUAAUAAGAACAAUUAAAUGUUAUUAAUAAAUAAAUUAAGCUAUCAAAAGACAUGUGCAAGCUACUUAGAAGUCAGAAAAAAGUCAUUUUUUGAGGUAUUAUGAAGUAAAAUUUCACUGGGGAUGAAUACUGGAAUGUUUUUCCCAAAGCUCAUGAGAAUCAUAAAUCCAUGGAAACAGAGGAGUCUCAUUUUUGCUUUGGUGAAAAAGAGCUGUAGGAAGCUUUGCCCAGGGGUACGAACCUGCCUUUAUAAAAGCCAUAACAAUUUCACUGUUUUUAAUCAUCUCGCCUUUCUGUGGAUUUCACAGUGAGUGAACUCUGUACCCAUGGAAAGCCUAUGAUACAUAGUUACCCAACAAGAUAGUCAGGAUUCAACUAUUCUAAUAAAUCAAAAAGUAUUUUUAAAAUAUUUAUCAAGCACUCUUAAUAUCAUGGAUGCCAUAUAUAAACACAUAGUUUUUCCCCAUGGCCUCAUAAUUCAAGGUAUCAUGGCGUCUAUCCCACCAAUGAUCAUCAGAAUGCAGGAUUGUAUGUAUCUGCACAUUCUCUUUAGAGGAAUGUUGACUUUAAUUUCUGAAGGUUUUGUAGGCUUGAUGUAGACUUUAUAGGUAAGAACAAAUCCUUACAGCCUUUUUAAGGUCGAGAUUUCCUGUGCACAUGCUGGGGGUGCUUUGUGAAGCCAGUCAGUGUCUGUGAAAGAGGAGUUUAUUGACAAAUAGGUCAACAGCUGCUCCAGAUGGGGACCCGCAUUGAGAAGGUACUAUGUCUGCAACAGCGGACCUAUAGCGGUGGUUCUCCAACUGAAGCUUCUAUCAGAAUCACUUGGAGGCCUUGUUAAAAGAGAUUGCUUCCCCACCCCCAGUUUCAGAUUAAGUAGAUCUGGCUGUGGGGUGUGAGAUUCGGCAUUUCUAAUGACGUCUUAGAUGAUGUGCAGCUGUUCUGAGAACCACAUUUUGAGAAGCAGUGACCUGGAGGGUCAUCCUAGAGGAACCAGUCCACCCUAAAGGAAAUCAGUCCUGAAUAUUCAUCGGAAGGACUGAUGCUGAAGCUGAAACUCCAAUACUUUGGCCACCUGAUGCGAAGAACUGACUCCUUGGAAAAGACCCUGAUGCUGGGAAAGAUUGAAGAGAGGAAGUCAUGAGAAUCCUGGUGCUGUGUCCUUUAUUCUCCUCACUCUGGAAGAGUCCACGGUGUCACAUGGAUCAGUUUGCUUUGAAUCCCAUCUGUUUAAUUGUGGUAAUCAUUUUUGCUGACCCUCCUUCCUGAGCCUCCUUCUUGAGGAGCAGUCUUGGAUCUCUGCAACUCUGCCUCAGCCUCAGUCUGCUCUAAUAUCUCAAUCCUAGAUGUUUAGGGAUUAUUUAGAUAACCCCUAAAUGUCCUGGAAAAUGCUGGGGGAAAGAGGUCAAGAGAUGUUGGGCUAGUCUCAGCCACAGACUUAUGUUUAUCACAGCUUAAAUGAAAGCAUUACAUUUAAUUAUAUUCCCUUUGGCAUGCCUCUGUCUCUUGGAUGUGAUAAUUAAUGUGACACAGAACAAGCAGUUAAUAACUGUUGGUUUUUAUCUGUCUGUCUUUAACUAAUAACCUUUGACCUGCAAAGAUGGUUUAGAAAAAUAUUAGGUAACUCAGUUUUAGCCAUUAUGAUGUUGUAAUGACUUGUGCUGACCUAAUGUCCUUGCUUUAUUUGGUGGCUCAGAUAGUAUAGCCAAAAUAUAAAUGUGAAAACUCUCUAAAUCAAGGCUAAUACCUCCAAAGACAAGACUGCUGUCAAGGUGCUUGGAUGGAAGUGACUUUUAUAGCUGUACCUUAACUUGGAUUAACUUUCAUAAUACAGGCCACAUCAGAUGAUCUCAAUAUUAGAGGUAAGGAUGCAUCGUGAUGAAGCUUCCUACCAGUUUUCAAAUGUUUGCCACUUCUCAAAGCUAUUUUCUCAGUUUCACUGCGGCUGCAGUUGCUACUGUUUACCUGGACUUUUUUUUUCUAAUUAAUUUAUUUGGAGGCUAAUUACUUUACAAUGUAAUGGUUUUUGCCGUACGUUGACGUGAAUCAGCCAUGGGUGUACAUGUGUCCCCCAUCCUGAAGCCCCCUCCCACCUCCCUCCCCAUCCCAUCCCUCAGGUUUGUCCCAGCGCACCGGCUGUUUCAUGCCUCGAACCUGGACUGGCCAUCUAUUUCACAUAUGGUAAUACUCAUGUUUCAUUGCUGUUCUCUCAAAUCAUCUCAAAUCAAAUCAUCCCACCCUCGCCUUCUCCCACCUGGACUUAUUGAAGACAUUCUUCUGAAACCCAAGAAAUAACUUUUGCAUGGCUGCAUGUAGUCAGGAUAGUUGUAAUGGUAUGAAAGUUUUUUGCUUUGAACCAGUUUCCUUCAACAACUGUUCUGUUGCCCCCUUGGAGUGAUGAAACUUCUUCAUAAAUGGUAUAUUAAACAUAGAAUGUUUGAGCAACAUCAACUAUCUCAAGGCAGACAUGAUGAUUUCUGAUCAACAACUCUGGGGAAGGGCCUUAUCAAAAUUUAUAGCAGAAUUUUAGGUUUAAGGUUUUUAAAAAAAUAUUUUUAAGCCCCUGCCAAGUUGAGUGGGUCCCUGGUAAAUGUUUGCUGAAUUAAUGAGGGAAUGAAUUGUGGAAGGCAUCAUUGUAUGUUAAUUGAUAUUCCCUAUUUGAAAUGGACAGUUCUGUAUCCUGUGCAUUGUCUAUACUGGACCCUUGACCAGUUUCUGGACGUUGCCUGAACUUUCUUGUCUGCUGUGCCUAUGGUCACUCCAUUUCCUCCAGCUCGAUUGCCCUUUCCAUCUCUACUGAAAUUCUACCCAUCCGUCAGCCUGCAUCCAAUGCUGUCGUUUCCCUAAAGCCUUCUUGGCUUUUUCUAUCACCCCAGAGGAAAAUAUUGUAACUAUCUCACAUGCUUGUCAGAGUACAUUUGCUUGUUUCUUUUGUCUUCAGCACUUUUCUUGUGUAACAGUAAAAUGUAUACAUACAUAUAAUGUCUUUCAUUUUAGAACUUAAGUUCUCUAAGAAUAGACUGUGUUGUGUUUGUCUUUGUGCCUCACACACACACACACACACUUUAGCAUAGUGUUAUAUAUGUUAGUUCCUCAAUCUUCUUCUUUUGUUAAAUGAAUAAAAUUUACAGGGGAUUAACUUUUCUUUCUAUAUUGUAAUACCUAUAAAUUCCCCAUCCUUCAUAGAAAUUUUUGACAAAAAUGCUGAUAAAUUGAAAAAAGCAUUAAGACUUGAUUUUCACUGAAAUUUUUAAGUCAUUGGUAGACAUGGAUUGGGGGCAGGAGGAGAAGGGGAUGACAGAGGAUGAGAUGGCUGGAUGGCAUCACUGACUCGAUGGACGUGAGUCUGAGUGAACUCCGGGAGUUGGUGAUGGACCGGGAGGCCUGGCGUGCUGCGAUUCAUGGGGUCACGAAGAGUCGGACACGACUUGAGCGACUGAACUGAACUGAACGGAGACAUGUAAAUGAAGAACAAUGGACCAGGCUCUGGGAAAACUAGAUUUUUAAAAGACAUUGAGCGGAUAAAUUUGUUUGGAUUGGUUGGGUGGGGAUGAACAAAAUCACUGUAAGAACCAUCGAUAUUUAGUCUAAAAACCUAGGGAGAUAACACAGCCUUUUUCUUCUGUCAAGAGUGAAAUGUUUAUUAAUAUUGUUUUCUAGUUUAGAAUUCAGCACAUGGUUCUCAAGUA
This is a long non-coding RNA of Bubalus bubalis (water buffalo), 4159 nucleotides long. RefSeq lists it as uncharacterized. The record is from RefSeq and is a predicted model, not a curated record. The transcript is spliced from 2 exons. NCBI's taxonomy places the organism in Eukaryota, Metazoa, Chordata, Mammalia, Artiodactyla, Bovidae.